GUGAAAGAAGCUGUCAUAUUAGACCGGAAGUGACAUUCAUUUCACCGGAAGUAGCAUAUUAUCUCCUUUAUAUCACUUAAAAAUAUGAUUAAAUCAUUAUUUAUCGUAUCAGUAUGAACAACUAUCUUCUUAUCAAAAUUUCUUUGAUAUGGAAAGACCUUCAAUUGUUCUCUGAACAAUUGGUUUUUAAUUAUUUUUUUUUUUUUUUUUUUUUUUCUUCCGCCUAAUUUUGAUAUUGCGACAAAUGUUUGUUUCGCAAUAUGUCGCUUAGAUAUUUCUCAUAUUGUAUCGUACAGUUUAUGCGCUUUUACAUUUCACCCUGCUAAGCCGAACACUUUUCUUUGUAAGAGUUAUCUCCCUAUUCACUGUUUAUCAUCAGAGUGCAUCUCCUUCGUAACAAAAAAAGAUAGCGACAAAAUUCUUUUUACAAAUUGUUCGUUACAUCCUAAGGAAAAUUUGGCUAAUUUGGAUCGAAGCGAUUCGAUGAAAUUUUAUAGGAGUUAUCUACCUUUACAAAAUUAUUUUCUCAAUAUGUGUUAUUAACUAAUAAACCGUCAACCAUAUAACCCUGGAAUGUAUUUAUUUGAGAUCCCUAGGCCCUUUAUUAGAAAAUGGGGUCAAGGUCAAAGGUCAAGGUCAAGUUCUAAAUUCGGAAUUUUCCAUGUUUUUGCAUUUUCUCCAACCCUUGAAAAGGUAUAUAUUAAAGAACAAGUGCAAAAUGAUUGCUAUAUAGUUAUGAAGAUAUUUUACAUUUGGUCUGAUACAAUUAAAUAGCAUCUAAUAGGAGUUAGUGCCCCUGAAAUGUCUUGAUAUGAGGUUAUUUGAUUAUAACUUCAACUAAG
Molecule: long non-coding RNA, 842 nt
Filed under: Mytilus galloprovincialis (Mediterranean mussel)
Lineage: Eukaryota; Metazoa; Mollusca; Bivalvia; Mytilida; Mytilidae
Source: RNAcentral